UACAGAGGUCCCGAGCGUUGUUCGGAUUCACUGGGCGUAAAGGGUGCGUAGGUGGUGAGGUAAGUCGGAUGUGAAAUCUCCGGGCUCAACCCGGAAACGGCAUUGGAAACUACCUUGCUUGAGGAUUUGAGGGGGGAUUGGAAUACUUGGUGUAGCAGUGAAAUGCGUAGAUAUCAAGUGGAACACCAGUGGCGAAGGCGAAUCCCUGGAAAAUACCUGACACUGAGGCACGAAAGCUAGGGGAGCAAACAGG
RNAcentral lists this ribosomal RNA (253 nucleotides) under uncultured bacterium. RNAcentral describes it as "partial 16S ribosomal RNA". It matches the Rfam family "Bacterial small subunit ribosomal RNA", at positions 524 to 776 of the family's 1533-position model. The record is from RNAcentral.